CAAAUUAAUUGAAAACAUAUUUCUUAUCUGUAAAUAAAGCAUAUCUUUUAUAUUACUUACUUAAACAAAUAAAUUCGUUUUUUAAGUACUUACCUGAAGAAUUACAGGUUAUGCUUAUAUUUGUUCGUCCACUAAUAUUAAAUUUCAAAGUUAUUAUGCUCACAAUGUUUCUUGAAGUAAAGAUGUUUUGUAAAUGUUA
Long non-coding RNA from Bombus pascuorum, 199 nucleotides. RefSeq lists it as uncharacterized. The record is from RefSeq and is a predicted model, not a curated record. Lineage: Eukaryota; Metazoa; Arthropoda; Insecta; Hymenoptera; Apidae. The transcript is spliced from 2 exons.